UUAAAUAAUGGUCUGAUUGGAGACUGUGACCAUACAUUCAUGUUCCUUCUUCCAAAGUGUCCACGUUGGAGAACGCUAGGGCUGGUUGGAGGUUCAAGGAACAGGGACUAGAGGAGAGAAAUGAGAAAGGAAGAGAGAGGAAACAGUGGGAGAAGGAGGCAAGCAAGGUUGUGAGCAGAGAUGCAUGGAGACAAUGACCACCUAGAUGAGGAACAGGUUGACACGGCCUCAUUCCUGGUAACAUGUAGACAAGUUGAGGGUGGCAACAGGAUUUUGGAUGUCAGAGACCCACUUUUUCAUUACACAGUUGAAACACUGAGGCCCUGGGAAGUCCCUGGACUAAAGGACACCAGGGGUCCCAAUGCCAGGCUGUGAGGAGCACAGGGUCCCCUGGUCACAUCCUGACUCUAAGUCUCCCCUUUGCUUUCACACAGACUCUCCACAUGACUGCUGCCCUCAGACACCAGAAAACUUCAUGGAAGAUAUUGAAGAUUUGGAGAAAGAUAACAAGAAUACGGAGAUGUCAGAAAGCUCUUUGGUCAUCUUUGUGAAGAGUGCUUUUGGGAAUAUCAUCAAUGAUGAUGAAGAAGACCUGGAAGAGCAAGUGUGAACAUGGGACCUGAGUUGAAAAGGCUCUGCUCGGAAUCCCUGAAGACCUGGACCUGGAUGCCAUCCUGGACACCAGAGGGGAUGGAGCCCCCACAGCACCAGAAGCCUUAUCUGGACCAGAUCAAGGGAGGCCUCAUUGCUUCUCUCCCGAGGGUCCUCAUUUAGUAUAGUUUCACUUGUUAUGUUGUAUAGAUUUAGUAUUAGUUUUAUCUAUAUGUUUCAUGUCUAUCUGUAUGUUCUAUAUUUACAUGUAAGUUUUUUCAUUAAAAAUUUUUAUAUGUUACUUUUAAAAUACUCUUUUGUAAAACACACAUGCAUAGAGUAGCCCCCUCAACAGAGGUAGAACUUAAUCAAUUGUUGUAAACCAAUUACCUUAGUGUCCACCACCACGAUCACUCCCCUUGGUAUACAGUUCAGUCUUUGUUGUUAAGGAACUGCAGAUUUAGUUCUUACAUCUGUCCUACUGUCAUUGUCUUUAAGGAUUCUGUUUUCUCAUGUCUGUUCAUUCUACUAGUCAUAGGAGAUCAAUAUGAUCCUAGAACUUUCCUAACUUGCAUGUCAGGAUUUUUUGAAACUCAGGCUGCUUUUGUGGUAAAAAUUCAUGAUUCAUCAUUGCUCUCCUUUUGUAACUUAAGUGUGUUUCUCUUUUCUUCUAACAGAGAAUUUCUCUCCAAAAAGGCUCUUAAAAUUCUAGUUUUUAUUCCCUUAUAUUUCUCCUGCUCUUUUAUUCCAGCUGUGCAAAGGACUAUAUUCUCAUGGUGAACAUUUUGUCCCCAAAACUCAUUUAUUUUAUAAGGGGAGUUUGUAAGUCUUAAACUCUCUCACCUAGCUUUCUCAUCACCACAUCCCUCUUCUUUUUGGUAAUCACUUCUUUAUUCUCUGUAUCUAUGACUCCAUUACUGUUUGGUUAUUUUGGCUUAUUGGUUUUGAUUUUUGGUUUACAUGUUUAAGUGACAUCAUACUGUAUUGGUCACUCUAUUGGACUUAUUAUCCUUAUUAUCCUUAGCAUAAUACCCUCUAGCUCCAUCCAUGUUGUCACAAAUAACAAGAUUUCAUUCUUCUAUAUGGCUGAGUAAUAAUCCAUGCACACCACAUCUUAUGAAUUCAUCUCUUGAUACACACUUUGAAAAAAUACCCAUAGAUGGAAUUGCUUGAUCAUAAGGUAUUUCUAUUUUUAAAAUUUUGGGAAAACUCCAUACUUAGUGUAUAUGACUUAAGAUAUUCCCCAAAAUGCAACCUAAUACUUAAAGUUGGUAUUUCCUGUAACUGAAUUAUUUAGACUGACACUUGCACACCUAUAAAAACUGUAGAAGCAAUUUUACAUCAUCUUGAUUAGAAAGCAACUUUUGAUCUGUGUUGGAGAAGGCAAUGGCACCCCACUCCAGUACUCUUGCGUGGAAAAUCCCAUGGAUGGAGGAGCCUGGUAGGCUGCAGUCCAUGGGGUCGCUAAGAGUCAGACACGACUGAGCAAUUUUACUUUCACUUUUCACUUUCAUGCAUUGGAGAAGGAAAUGGCAACCCAUUCCAGUGUUCUUGCCUGGAAAAUCCCAGGGAUGGGGGAGCCUGGUGGGCUGCCGUCUAUGGGGUCGCACAGAGUCGGACAUGACUGAAGCGACUUACCAGCAGCAGAUCUGUGUUACUGGAUUAGUUGGGAGGAUCAAGUUUGGAAUGCAGAAUUAUGGAGAAAAGAGACACAGAAAGAGUGGAAAUGCAUAAAAGUGUAGAUUUUGCUACAGAGACCAAGUUCAUCCUGCUCACCACAUAACAGAACAAUAAAUCCAGAGACAAGCUGUUGCA
This is a long non-coding RNA of Bos indicus x Bos taurus (hybrid cattle), 2406 nucleotides long. NCBI's taxonomy places the organism in Eukaryota, Metazoa, Chordata, Mammalia, Artiodactyla, Bovidae. The record is from Ensembl.